UACGUAGGGGGCAAGCGUUGUUCGGAAUUACUGGGCGUAAAGGGCGCGUAGGCGGCUCGGCAAGUCAGGUGUGAAAGGCCUGGGCUCAACCUGGGAAUUGCUUUUGAAACUGCCGAGCUAGAGUGCGGAAGGGGCAACUGGAAUUCCCAGUGUAGCGGUGAAAUGCGUAGAUAUUGGGAAGAACACCUGAGGCGAAGGCGGGUUGCUGGGCCGACACUGACGCGGAUGCGCGAAAGCCAGGGGAGCGAACGGG
Molecule: ribosomal RNA, 253 nt
Filed under: uncultured bacterium
Lineage: Bacteria
Description: partial 16S ribosomal RNA
Rfam family: Bacterial small subunit ribosomal RNA
Source: RNAcentral